GGGGCGCACCAGGCGCGAAAACUUUACAAUGCGGGAAACCGUGAUAAGGGGACACCGAGUGCCAGCAUCAUAUGCUGGCUGUCCAGGUGUGUAAAAUACACCUGUUAGCAAGGGCCGGGCAAGACCGGUGCCAGCCGCCGCGGUAACACCGGCGGCCCGAGUGGUGAUCGUGAUUAUUGGGUCUAAAGGGUCCGUAGCCGGUUUGGUCAGUCCUCCGGGAAAUCUGAUAGCUCAACUAUUAGGCUUUCGGGGGAUACUGCCAGACUUGGAACCGGGAGAGGUAAGAGGUACUACAGGGGUAGGAGUGAAAUCUUGUAAUCCCUGUGGGACCACCUGUGGCGAAGGCGUCUUACCAGAACGGGUUCGACGGUGAGGGACGAAAGCUGGGGGCACGAACCGGAUUAGAUACCCGGGUAGUCCCAGCCGUAAACGAUGCUCGCUAGGUGUCAGACAUGGCGCGACCGUGUCUGGUGCCGCAGGGAAGCCGUGAAGCGAGCCACCUGGGAAGUACGGCCGCAAGGCUGAAACUUAAAGGAAUUG
RNAcentral lists this ribosomal RNA (540 nucleotides) under uncultured archaeon. RNAcentral's name for it is "bacterial SSU rRNA". It matches the Rfam family "Archaeal small subunit ribosomal RNA", at positions 327 to 867 of the family's 1478-position model. The record is from RNAcentral.